AUUUCAAUGCCAAAACCAAUAAAUUCUGUCAAGUAGAAUUAAUAUUAAAUUAUCAUAGUCUAUAGGAAGUGGUGCAGUAAAUAAAGUGUGGGACUCGCAAGCAAGAGGUUCCAAGUUCAAUAUCUGGCAGCACAAGUACCACAGUGAUAUCUGGUUGUUCUUUCUCUCCUAACUCUUUCAUUAAUAGAUAAAUAAAAUCUUUAAAAAAAAGAAGAGGAGGAGGAAGAGAAGGAUGAAGAGGAGGUACUCAUAGUGGCAGGAAAUUCUUUCAAAGAUAAACUAUGUCACCCAUGUCACCAUUCUCUUUAACCUGCUUCCCAACAUAGGAGCUGGAACACAGGGUAAUUCAACUGAAGGAAAGCAGUGGAGAUAAAUCCUGUGCUAACAAAAGACCUACACAGAACUGAGACUUAGAACUAAAUCAAGACUUGCUGAUCUCGCCUUAUCAUAUUUGCUGCCCUAUUGUCCAUGUGUUUAUUCAACACACAUUGUUGAAGCCCACAGAGGUCACACUCUCAAGGUACUUUCAGAUUGGAGGAAGGGAAAGGGAUUGAGAUGGGGAUUGGGGUGGGAGACAGGAAUUAAGGAGGGUGUGUGUAUGUGCAGAGAGAGCAAUAUAUUCGUCAAUGAAAUGUUAUACAUUGCAGAGA
Erinaceus europaeus (western European hedgehog) is the source of this 650-nucleotide long non-coding RNA. RefSeq lists it as uncharacterized. Lineage: Eukaryota; Metazoa; Chordata; Mammalia; Eulipotyphla; Erinaceidae. The transcript has 3 exons. The record is from RefSeq and is a predicted model, not a curated record.